Molecule: long non-coding RNA, 2193 nt
Organism: Equus caballus (horse)
Lineage: Eukaryota; Metazoa; Chordata; Mammalia; Perissodactyla; Equidae
Source: Ensembl
AAGUAGAGUGCCGGCGCUGUCGGGGAGCUCCUGCCCUGACAUUGCUGGCUUUGAAGAUGGUGGAAGGAGAUCAAUCAAGGAAGCAGGUGGCCUCUAAAAGCUGGAAAAAGUACAGAGAGCCUCCACCUUGAUCUUGGCCCAGUUAGAACCCUGUCAGGCUUCCUUCUACCGAGCUGUAAAGAAAUCUGAAGGUGGCAAUUCAGAGCUGGCAUGGCCAUUCCAUGUUCAUCAGGGACCCAGAAUUCUUCAUAUUUCUGCUCCUGCAUUUCCUACACUUGGUUCGCUUUCUCAAAGUCACCUCAUAGUUCAAACUGCUGCUGGAUAUCCAGUCAUUACUGCCAUUUUCCAGGAUGAUUAACCCUGAGCUAACAUCUACUGCCCAUCCUCCUUUCUUUGCUGAGGAAGACUGGCCGGGAGCUAACAUCUGUGCCCAUCUUCCUCUAUUUUAUAUGUGGGAUGCCUGCCACAGCAUGGCUUGACAAGUGGUGCAUAGGUCCACACCCAGGAUCCGAACAGGUAAAAUCUGGGCUGCAGAAGUGGAAUGUGAGAACUUAACUGCUGUGCCACUUGGCUGGCCCCUAAAGGUAAUUUUCCUGAAGUGUUUUAUGUUAUUGCUUGCAUGAUUAUGCUUUUGUUGUAGUUGUAUACUACUCCAUUGUGUGGGUAUAGCACAUUUUAUUUAUGUAUUCACUUAUGAGCAUUUUUCCUGCUUCCAGUUCUUGGCUGUUAUGAAUAAAGCUGCUAUGAUCAUUCAGGCAUAAUUUAUAUAGAUAUCCUUUUUCCUGUUUCUUGCAUAAAUACUUAGGAGUGGGAUUGCUGGGAAAAAUGGUAGGUGUAUGUUUAACAUUAUAAGAUGAUGCCACAAUGUUUUCUAAAGUGGUUGUGACAUUUUGAAAUUCCCGUAUUCCAGUUGUUCCACAUCCUUGCCUAUGCUUGAUAUUAUAGGUCUUUCAGAUUUUAGCCAUUCUAGUGGUUCUAAUGGGUAUGAGGUAAUAUCUCAUUGUGAUUUUAAUACACAUUUCUGUGAUGGCUAACGCUGUUGAGCAGGUUUUCAUGUGGAUGUAAGCCAAUUAUAUAUCUUUUGUGAAAUGUCAUCCAUGUCUUUGCUAUAUUUUUGUAGAGUUGUUUGUCUUCUAAUUGUUGACUUGAAAGAAUUUUGGCUAUUUUAGAGAGUUGCAUUCAUAUAAAGUUUAGUCACUUUGUCACUUGUUAUAAAAGCUUGCUAGAAUUAUAAUAGGGAUGGACUUGGCUUUAUAGGUCAACUUGGGGAAUCUGGACAUUUAGCAAUAGUGAGUUUUUCCAUUAAUAGCUAUGACAGAACUCUCCAUUUAUUUAGGUCUUAUUUUUUCUCGGCUAUGUCUGUAGUGUUUAGUUUAGAGGUCCUGCAUAUAUUGUUAAAUUUAUUUUCAAUUAUUUUCUUUUUAAUACUGUUUUAGAUAGUAUUUUUAUUUCUUUCUCCAGUUACUUGUUACUACUAUAUAUAGAAAUACAAUCCUUUUAUUUUAUAUUAGCCAUAUGUCCUGUGGCCUUGAUAAACUUACCUAUUAAUCUUAGUAGAUUUUUUUUGGUAGAUUCCUUAGAAUACACAUACACACACACACAGAUUUUUUUCAAUAUAUAUUCUUUUAUAUAUGUCUUUUACUUAUUUUUCUUUAAUACACUUGCUAGGAUCUCUAGUGGAAAAGAUACAGUGAAAAUUUACAUUCUUGCCUUGUUCCCAAUCAUAGAGGGAAAGUAUUUAGUUUUUCACCAUUAUAUAUGAUACCAGCUACAAGUUUUCAUAGAUACCUUUAUCAGGUUGAGAAAGUUUUAUUCUAUUCCUAAUUUUCUGAGAUUUUUGUCAUGAAUGGGUGUUGACUUUGAUCAAUUUUCACCUUUAUUUUCUUUAUAUCUGCCUUCCUUAUAUAAAGCCUACAUGAUCUUAAAAUAGGACGCUUUUUAUAUUUUGCUGAAUUGGAUUUGCUUAUAUUUUUUUAAGUCAUGCACUUAUUGGUCUAUGAUUUUUCCUCUCUAAUAAUGUCCUUGCCAGUUUUCUCUAUCAGAACCUCAUAGAAUGGGAAAACAUCAUUAUUCCUCUGCAUUUUAAGGGAGUUUGUGAAAGAUUGGUGUUACUUCUUCCUUAAAUAUUUGAGAUUCAUCAAAGAGACUAUGUAAGUCUGUGCUUUCCUUCAAGGGAAGAUUUUGAUUAUGAAU